This is a long non-coding RNA of Gossypium raimondii (Peruvian cotton), 839 nucleotides long. RefSeq lists it as uncharacterized. The record is from RefSeq and is a predicted model, not a curated record. The transcript is spliced from 4 exons. NCBI's taxonomy places the organism in Eukaryota, Viridiplantae, Streptophyta, Magnoliopsida, Malvales, Malvaceae.
UCAUUCCACAUCACUUUUUAUCCCAAAAUUUCCCCGGGAACCCCUAAUUUUUCCCUCCUAAAAUCCUUGAAGUGUUUCUCUCUGCCACCACAAUCUUCAUCAUCAUCUUCCCCUCUCUCCCUCUUUUUGCAUACAUCUCAGAAGAGGAAAAAGAAAAAAAGGUAAAGAGAAAAACAACGCAAAUGGAAGAACCUCAAAACGGAAACGGAAAGUUGAAUACUAUCGCAGAGGAAGAGGAGGAGCCGGUUAUAGGACCAGGACCCGCCCCUCGAGCUCAACCGAAGCGCCCGCUCCAGUUUGAACAAACAUAUCUCGAUUCCCUACCUUCAACUAACAUGUAUGAGAAAAACUAUAUGCAUCGAGAUGUAGUUACUUAUGUUGCUGUAUCGUCUGCAGAUUUUUUUCAUCACUGGAAAUGUUGAUGGGCAUUUGAAAUUUUGGAAGAGGAAAGCAGUUCGGAUUGAGUUUGCAAAGCAUUUUAGAUCCCACCUGGAUCCCAUUGAAGGUCUCUCGGGUAGUUGAUGGGCGGUGGAGCAAGUGGUCGCAGUGGAUGGGCGAUGGAGGCAAGUGGCUGUCAGAGGUGGCAGAGGCUAGGUGCGACAUAACAGGGUUAGGGGCGAGGGUUUCUGCUAAAGAGUUCAGGUUUUGGGCCAUUAGGGCUUUUUGUAAUUUGGGCUUGUUGGAUGUAAUUUGGGCUUGUAGGGCUUUGGGUGUUGAAUUCUGUAAAAAAUUAGACUUUUUUUUAUUUUUUUGGUAUUAUUUAUUUGAUUUUGGAUCCAGGCAAAUUGGGCCUGCUACAUUUACCAUAAUGAAACCUAUACUACUUCAUAUUGGUUGAA